AAAAGCACUGGAUUAAAUAAACCGCUCUACAAUUCUGUAUGAAGAAUCUUGCUGUGUUGCCCAGGCAGGAAUGCAGUGGUGCAAUCACGGCUCACUGCAGCCUCUACCUCCUAGGCUCAAGCAAUUCUCAGCCUCCUGAGAGUAGCUGGGACUACAGCUCCUCUCUCGAUCGGAAGAUUUUUUACAGCCACCCUACUGAUCUUUAGGGAUUUGUAAACUAUUACCCAGGAAGAAGGCCCAUGGAGCUAAGGCCUCAGAACACCAAAGUCUGGACUGUCUGAGGGCACAUGCUAAUAACAGGAGGCUGGCAAAGUGGCCAGCUCCCAUGCCUUUGCAUGCAUUUGUCUUUACCUCCUGCUGCCUGGGAACAUCCUUCCAGGAGCAAUCGAGUCAACAGCACCACAGACACUGCUAUUCCGUUGAGAAAAGUUUUAUAUGGAAACACAUACUGAUCAUGAACACGAUAAACAGGGAGGGAAGCUCGGGCUCAGCCAGGAAACCUGCCACAAGGAAGACGUUUGGAACUAUCCAGGAGUAGUGUCAAACACUAACACCAUAUUUACAAG
This 566-nucleotide non-coding RNA is filed under the name Pan troglodytes (chimpanzee). The record is from RNAcentral. Lineage: Eukaryota; Metazoa; Chordata; Mammalia; Primates; Hominidae.